GCUGGGUGCAGUAGUGCAUGCCUGUAAUCCCUGUGGCUCAGGAGGCUGAGGCAGGAGGAUCAUGAGUUCGAAGGCAGUUUCAGCAAUGGAAAGGUGCUAAGAAACUCAGUGAGACCCUGUCUCUA
Molecule: small RNA, 125 nt
Filed under: Marmota monax (woodchuck)
Lineage: Eukaryota; Metazoa; Chordata; Mammalia; Rodentia; Sciuridae
Source: RNAcentral